This 26-nucleotide non-coding RNA is filed under the name Homo sapiens (human). Lineage: Eukaryota; Metazoa; Chordata; Mammalia; Primates; Hominidae. The record is from RNAcentral.
UGGAAACUUGGCUCCUCACGUAGGUA